UGUGAACUCGAAGAGUAGGGCGGGACACGUGGUAUCCUGUCUGAAUAUGGGGGGACCAUCCUCCAAGGCUAAAUACUCCUGACUGACCGAUAGUGAACCAGUACCGUGAGGGAAAGGCGAAAAGAACCCCGGCGAGGGGAGUGAAAAAGAACCUGAAACCGUGUACGUACAAGCAGUGGGAGCACCUUCGGGUGUGACUGCGUACCUUUUGUAUAAUGGGUCAGCGACUUAUAUUCUGUAGCAAGGUUAACCGUAUAGGGGAGCCGCAGGGAAACCGAGUCUUAACUGGGCGUUAAGUUGCAGGGUAUAGACCCGAAACCCGGUGAUCUAGCCAUGGGCAGGUUGAAGGUUGGGUAACACUAACUGGAGGACCGAACCGACUAAUGUUGAAAAAUUAGCGGAUGACUUGUGGCUGGGGGUGAAAGGCCAAUCAAACCGGGAGAUAGCUGGUUCUCCCCGAAAGCUAUUUAGGUAGCGCCUCGUGAACUCAUCUUCGGGGGUAGAGCACUGUUUCGGCUAGGGGG
RNAcentral lists this ribosomal RNA (524 nucleotides) under Klebsiella pneumoniae. Its description in RNAcentral is "partial 23S ribosomal RNA". It matches the Rfam family "Bacterial large subunit ribosomal RNA", at positions 398 to 926 of the family's 2925-position model. The record is from RNAcentral. Lineage: Bacteria; Pseudomonadati; Pseudomonadota; Gammaproteobacteria; Enterobacterales; Enterobacteriaceae.